Molecule: ribosomal RNA, 257 nt
Filed under: uncultured bacterium
Lineage: Bacteria
Description: partial 16S ribosomal RNA
Rfam family: Bacterial small subunit ribosomal RNA
Source: RNAcentral
UACGGAGGGAGCUAGCGUUGUUCGGAAUUACUGGGCGUAAAGCGCACGUAGGCGGCUAUUCAAGUCGGGGGUGAAAGCCCGGGGCUCAACCCCGGAACUGCCCUCGAAACUAGGUAGCUAGAAUCUUGGAGAGGUCAGUGGAAGUUCCGAGUGAUAGAGGUGAAAGUUCGUAGAUAUUCGGAAGAACACCAGUGGCGAAGGCGACUGACUGGACAAGUAUUGAGCGCUGAGGUGCGAAAGCGUGGGGAGCAAACAGG